CCGGGCCGGGAGCAGGGCUUGCCAGGGUCCAUUGUACUCACGCUGGGGGGCUGAAGACCUUCUUGUACUGGUUCUGUUUAUCAGCCAAACUUUAGCUGACCUUUGGACUUGCUCCAGGACACAGCAGUUCCCAGGGUGGCGCUCAGCGGCCGCGAGGUCACCGCAGCACUGGUGGGAGCAGACGCCCACCAAGCCGCUGAGGGAAUGAAGUUUUUUUCCACCUGGGUCCGGUCAGGAAAGAAACCGGAACUGUUCAGCUUUAUGGGAGUUUCACCUGCAUCUCCCCAGGGCGCCGAAGGGGGAAAGGAAGGAGGCCUGCGGCGCACCUGGACGUGCAGGCUGGUUCUGACCUGCAGAAGAACAGGGCAAGGGGCUUUUUAGGAUCCACCGUUCACAGACCCAUAGGCAGAGGACACCCCCUGACCCUCUCUAAGCCUCAGUUCCUCAUCCGAGAAAUACUGCAGCGGACAGUGCAGGGGGAGGGGUGGUGCAUACAUUGAAUGAGACCACCUGUGAACCCCUUGGUCUAAUAAUUGGUGUUCACACUUUUCAGCCUGGAAAGGGGAGGAAGCCAGUUCCCAGUAGGAAAAUCUAACCCCUUUGGGGGCUUAGUAUUCUCAGAAUCCGGCAGAUCCAGCACUGGGGUUGGAGGGACUGGGAGAUUAGGGACAAAAAUUCAGAAUCAGCAGGGAAUUUGCAAAGGAGCUUCUAAUCAAAAUCUCCUACCAUUCCCACCUUUAAAAGGCAGGAGGAAGUUGGGACUAGUUCUGGGAAAUGUGGAAUUUCAGCAAGGGGAAGGAUCAGCGGCUCUCAUCUGCUUCAUUCUGGAUCAAAUCUCUUAGGUGUGCUAGAGCUGAAGCUCUAGGGGCGACUGAUCCAAGUUUGACUGCUAAGAGUGAGACUGCCUCUCAAACACGGGGUCUGCUGGGGAUGCCUGGGACACGUGCCGGGAGCCAGAAGGAAGGGGGUGAUUGUGUGCAUGGAGUGUAUGGAGCCUUCCGGGAAGUUUACACUGUCUCAGGCUCUUCCCUUGAGAAAGGGUUAAUAAGUUCAUGGAAAUGAGGGUCCUUCAUUUCACCCUAUUGUCUUUUAGUUUGUUGUGACAUAUGGCAGGUCCUUGCCCCUCACAAUUCGGCCCAAUGGGAGAACAUUCUCUGCCUACCGAGAUCCCCUCAGCCAGGAUAAUGAAGUGUUCAGAGUAAAUGUCCCUGGAGAACAA
This is a long non-coding RNA of Leopardus geoffroyi (Geoffroy's cat), 1219 nucleotides long. RefSeq lists it as uncharacterized. The transcript has 2 exons. The record is from RefSeq and is a predicted model, not a curated record. Lineage: Eukaryota; Metazoa; Chordata; Mammalia; Carnivora; Felidae.